RNAcentral lists this non-coding RNA (221 nucleotides) under Minicystis rosea. Lineage: Bacteria; Pseudomonadati; Myxococcota; Polyangiales; Polyangiaceae. The record is from RNAcentral.
UAUGUUGGGCCCCGUGCUGGUGACUGGGCGGUUGCCCAGUCUUGAAAGGGAACCCGGUGAGAGUCCGGGACUGCCCCGCAGCGGUGAGCGAGAACGAGCUCCGUCACGUGCACUGGGCCUUUGGGGUUCUGGGAAGCGACGGAUCGUAGGAGUCCGGUAGAGCGUGUCUCUGCGCCGGCAAGCUCGCGAGUCCGAAGACCUGCCUGCACACGAUCCCGGGA